ACAGAGGUCCCAAGCGUUGUUCGGAUUUACUGGGCGUAAAGGGUGCGUAGGCGGUUGGGUAAGUCUGACGUGAAAUCUCCGGGCCUAACCCGGAAAGUGCGGAGGGGACUGCUCGGCUAGAGGAUGGGAGAGGAGCGCGGAAUUCCCGGUGUAGCGGUGAAAUGCGUAGAGAUCGGGAGGAAGGCCGGUGGCGAAGGCGGCGCUCUGGAACAUUUCUGACGCUGAGGCUCGAAAGCGUGGGGAGCAAACAGGA
This 253-nucleotide ribosomal RNA is filed under the name uncultured prokaryote. RNAcentral's name for it is "partial 16S ribosomal RNA". It matches the Rfam family "Bacterial small subunit ribosomal RNA", at positions 525 to 777 of the family's 1533-position model. The record is from RNAcentral.